This is a long non-coding RNA of Oreochromis aureus, 95 nucleotides long. RefSeq lists it as uncharacterized. The record is from RefSeq and is a predicted model, not a curated record. The transcript has 3 exons. NCBI's taxonomy places the organism in Eukaryota, Metazoa, Chordata, Actinopteri, Cichliformes, Cichlidae.
GCUGAGCAGAUUUCAUCUCAAACAAAGCCGAUGGCAGAAGAUGUUUGGAGAAGAACUUCAGGCCGUGGACUGAAAAGAUCAAAGCAGCUCGUGCU